AACGUGUCUAUUGCGUAUGUCACAAAUGUCUAAACUUUUUUUUAUUAUUUUCUUUCUCUUUUUCUCCAAUUAGAUGGAAGUAAACCCAUACCUUUGAAAACAAAGAGAAAUAUGGGCCUCUAUGGUAUCAUCUUGGAAAGCAGAUUUUUUUUUUCUUCUAGUAGUGGCAUCUUGAAAUGGGCCAUUUCAAGAGUUUUAAUAGAUAUUACUUUCAGAAAACACUCUGUUAAAAACAUUUUUUUAAUAUCAUUUUCCUUUUAAUACAUAUUAGCAAUUUUUUGUAUUGAUGUGCUUAUUACCUAUUUGGUGUUAUGUCAAGAGAAAUGUCUAUAGAUUUUCUCCCCUUUCCCCUCUUCUCUUCUACUCUUCAUAAACACGAUACUGAUAUGAAAAGAGCAGAGUUACAAUUAGUGCGGUUGAUGGUGCCUAUUAUGUGUUUGAUGUUUUGUUUGAUUGAAAAAGUACAUUGUUCUUCAUGUAAGUUGGUUGUCGUUCAUUUAUUGAUACUAAGCCAAUUGUUACUACUUAUGUGCUGAUUUUUAUUCUCUUUGUUUCUUGUCUUGAAUAUGUUUAUUUGCUAACUUAGUUGUUGAUUUUUAUUUAUUAACAACAAUUGUUUUGAGGCUGGAAGAAAGAGGACUCCUCCUUGUUGGGAUGCCUAGCCGGUGCGGCUUCUUUUGAGUUCUCAUUCUGUUAGUUGUCCUGGGAUAUGCUUUGUACAACCACACAAAUAGAAGCAGUGUACCAUUUUGGGUGUGCCUUGCAAAGAGUUGAACUUCUGAACUUUGAAGUGACCCUAACAGAUAAAGAUUGUACAGUUGAGAUGUUGUUGUGCAAGAUGAAUUGCAUGAGGCAACCUUCUUGAGGAGCUUGGAUUUGUUCAAAGGCAAUGAGAAUGAUUUUGAUGUUGUUCUAGCAGAAAUGGAGAAGGAGAUGAGCAUGUCUGAUAUAAUGAAGGAAUUGGGCUAUGGAUGCACAUUUAAUGUUUCACAAUGCAUGGAGAUGUUAUCUCUUUUCUUACUGCUAACUGAAAUCACUGUCUCUACGAUACUUGGCACAAUUGCCCACACCCAUGCUGGGCUUGAGGAUAAUCAGAAUGCAUUUUCGCCUUGCUGUUAUGCUUUUGGUAUUGACAGUUUGUCUGAUAUGCCAUUGAUGAGCUCGUGGUAUAUUGAUGUCCUUAUUGAUUCAAUCAAGCAGCUUGUGAUUUUUUUUUUUCACAUCAUUCUGUAUCUUGCUUUAUUUAUUUUUAUCUUGUUGCAUAUGCAAUUUAGUAAAGUUCAUUCCUUGUUUCUAAUUUUAAAUGUUGAAGUACAGGCUCCUGAAGCCAACUGGAUAAGUGUUGUUGAAAGCCUAGAUCAUGAGGGAUUCUAUUUCCCUAAUGAGGCAGCAUUUUCCUUUUUUAUGUCCGUUUAUAGACGUGGAUGCCAGGUUUUUUUCAUACAUGAAUUUAAUUAAUUACAUGUACGUAAAAUUUGUUUCUUAUUGAUCUAGCAAUUAACAUUAGAUUUAUGCAUAUAUGCAUGGUUGUAGAUAAAUAAACCUCAAAGCACUAGCCAGAAGUUUUUUUUUUCUCCUUUGAUAAUGAUAAGUGUCCAUGAUGAUUUAUGCUUUUUUUGUUUGGGUACAAUGGAAAGGUUCAUGCAUUUAUGCCUAACUAUAUGUUCAACAAUGAUAUCUAUUGAAAUUAGCAAAGAAAAUAGCACACAGAAAUUAAUUUAUUAUUUAGUGCUUUAUGAAACUAACCUUUUGUUUGUGGCCAUAUUAUGCUACACAAAUCAGUUUUUAAUUAAUUUCAAAGUUAAUUAUAGACUGCCAUUGAAGUUGCCUAUGCACAAGCCACUUUCAAGGCUACCAAAAAGGUGUCUAUUAUUUUCUUGUAUAGCUGCACCAAAUUCCAAUGACCUCACACUCUAUAGAACAGUUCCACUCAUUUAAAUUUUUUGAACAAUUCUGAUGAACAAAUGACAUCCCUGUUGGUUCCCAAAUAACAUGUUUAACCCUUUGUUUAAGUCUAAACAUUUGUUUGAUACAAAACUUUUACAGUGUUCCGCGGGGGAUAUAUAUGUAUAUACAUAUAUUUCCAGAUAUUCUUACUGCUUGAAAUGAUUAAGAAUUUAGUCCUCAUAUGGGUUUUUUUAGUCUGUGUAGGAUUAUGGUUUGAAUUUGUGUUUGGUUGUUUCUAUUGCUCAUAUCAGGUCCAGAAUUUGAGUAAUUCAAAUAUAUAGAGAUUUGGGUUAUAAGAUUUGUUGGAGAAUUCUAACCAACUUUGGGUUGUUGAGAUGUUCUGUUCAAUUGCUCUUGUAUGCUUAAUGGAGCAGAUGGUUAGAUUACAGACCCAACAGAAGAGAGAGAAGUUCACUUCCAAGAAGGUGCACUCACAAUCCAAGCCGCUAGGAAUUUCCUAAUACAAAGAUAUGGAGGGCACAACCCACGACGGUGCACUCACAAGAAGAUAUUUGUUUAAAUUUUGUAUGGCUUAGAACUUAAUGAUAGUUUUUUUUUUUUUUUUUAUGAUUUAGAACAUUUUAGACAGUUUUGAACGUAAAGAUAGGUUUUGAUGUUUAGAAACAUAGUUUUUAGAUUAUUUGGAAUGUAUAGAUAGUUUUUGGAUAUUCAGAACUUAUGGAUAGUUUUUUUUUUUAAUUUUUUAAUUUUAUGUUUAAAACAAUAUUUUGGUGGUUGAUUAAU
Camellia sinensis is the source of this 2691-nucleotide non-coding RNA. NCBI's taxonomy places the organism in Eukaryota, Viridiplantae, Streptophyta, Magnoliopsida, Ericales, Theaceae. The record is from RefSeq and is a predicted model, not a curated record.